RNAcentral lists this long non-coding RNA (245 nucleotides) under Pelobates cultripes (western spadefoot toad). Lineage: Eukaryota; Metazoa; Chordata; Amphibia; Anura; Pelobatidae. The record is from RNAcentral.
GUAAACUUACCAUUCAACAUCUUCUUUUUUCUCAAAUCUUCAUUUUUCAGCCCCAAAAAAGGCCAAAUAAAAAACCAUCAUAACCGUCGAAUUGAAAAUAAAAUAAAAAUCCUGAGCGCAAAAAAAAAAACCUGACGAAAAAGAAAAAACCCGAGCGCAAAAAAAUAAUCCAUCUUCACCCAUGGAGGGCUCCGCGCAGACUGAGCUCCGCAGGGCGGGGAAAGGCUUAUAAAGCCUUGCCCCGC